This 433-nucleotide ribosomal RNA is filed under the name uncultured bacterium. RNAcentral's name for it is "partial 16S ribosomal RNA". It matches the Rfam family "Bacterial small subunit ribosomal RNA", at positions 29 to 507 of the family's 1533-position model. The record is from RNAcentral.
AGCGAACGCUGGCGGCAGGCCUAACACAUGCAAGUCGAACGAACUCUUCGGAGUUAGUGGCGGACGGGUGAGUAACACGUGGGAACGUGCCUUUUGGUUCGGAAUAACUCAGGGAAACUUGUGCUAAUACCGAAUGUGCCCUUCGGGGGAAAGAUUUAUCGCCAUUAGAGCGGCCCGCGUCUGAUUAGCUAGUUGGUGAGGUAACGGCUCACCAAGGCGACGAUCAGUAGCUGGUCUGAGAGGAUGACCAGCCACACUGGGACUGCGACACGGCCCAGACUCCUACGGGAGGCAGCAGUGGGGUAUCUUGCGCACUGGGCGAAAGCCUGACGCCGCCAUGCCGCGUGAAUGAUGAAGGUCUUAGGAUUGUAAAAUUCUUUCACCGGGGACGAUAAUGACGGUACCCGGAGAAGAAGCCCCGGCUAACUUCGUG